RNAcentral lists this ribosomal RNA (613 nucleotides) under uncultured bacterium. Its description in RNAcentral is "bacterial SSU rRNA". The stretch from base 1 to 520 matches the Rfam family "Bacterial small subunit ribosomal RNA", at positions 338 to 873 of the family's 1533-position model. The record is from RNAcentral.
CCUACGGGAGGCAGCAGUGGGGAAUAUUGGACAAUGGGCGAAAGCCUGAUCCAGCAAUGCCGCGUGAGUGAUGAAGGCCUUAGGGUUGUAAAGCUCUUUUACCCGGGAUGAUAAUGACAGUACCGGGAGAAUAAGCUCCGGCUAACUCCGUGCCAGCAGCCGCGGUAAUACGGAGGGAGCUAGCGUUGUUCGGAAUUACUGGGCGUAAAGCGUACGUAGGCGGUUAUUCAAGUCAGAGGUGAAAGCCUGGGGCUCAACUCCAGAACUGCCUUUGAAACUAGAUAGCUAGAAUCAUGGAGAGGUCAGUGGAAUUCCGAGUGUAGAGGUGAAAUUCGUAGAUAUUCGGAAGAACACCAGUGGCGAAGGCGACUGACUGGACAUGUAUUGACGCUGAGGUACGAAAGCGUGGGGAGCAAACAGGAUUAGAUACCCUGGUAGUCCACGCCGUAAACGAUGAUAACUAGCUGUUCGGACCUUUAAGGUUUGAGUGGCGACNGCUACGACUAUAAGUUAUACCGUCCGUCGGGUAGGUACGGUCGCGAGAAGUAAACGUAACGAAGAAGUAAGUACGGUACGUUGAGUACGUUAGCGACGACGACGACGAGGGAGGAGG